RNAcentral lists this ribosomal RNA (448 nucleotides) under Herminiimonas sp. RNAcentral's name for it is "bacterial SSU rRNA". It matches the Rfam family "Bacterial small subunit ribosomal RNA", at positions 412 to 853 of the family's 1533-position model. The record is from RNAcentral. Lineage: Bacteria; Pseudomonadati; Pseudomonadota; Betaproteobacteria; Burkholderiales; Oxalobacteraceae.
AGGCCUUCGGGUUGUAAAGCUCUUUUGUCAGGGAAGAAACGGUGGACUCUAAUACAGAUCACUAAUGACGGUACCUGAAGAAUAAGCACCGGCUAACUACGUGCCAGCAGCCGCGGUAAUACGUAGGGUGCAAGCGUUAAUCGGAAUUACUGGGCGUAAAGCGUGCGCAGGCGGUUUGGUAAGACAGAUGUGAAAUCCCUGGGCUCAACCUAGGAAUUGCAUUUGUGACUGCCCGGCUAGAGUGUGUCAGAGGGGGGUAGAAUUCCACGUGUAGCAGUGAAAUGCGUAGAGAUGUGGAGGAAUACCGAUGGCGAAGGCAGCCCCCUGGGAUAACACUGACGCUCAUGCACGAAAGCGUGGGGAGCAAACAGGAUUAGAUACCCUGGUAGUCCACGCCCUAAACGAUGUCUACUAGUUGUUGGGUCUUAAUUGACUUAGUAACGCAGCU